RNAcentral lists this non-coding RNA (181 nucleotides) under Desulfobacteraceae bacterium IS3. Its description in RNAcentral is "6S RNA". It matches the Rfam family "6S / SsrS RNA". Rfam says of the family: E. coli 6S RNA was the first non coding RNA to be sequenced, but its function was unknown until recently. It consists of 184 nucleotides that fold into an extended hairpin structure with a large single-stranded internal bulge. Lineage: Bacteria; Pseudomonadati; Thermodesulfobacteriota; Desulfobacteria; Desulfobacterales; Desulfobacteraceae. The record is from RNAcentral.
UGACCCCUGCUGUGUUUGUGAUCGGAAGAUGUCCUUUGACCCAACACUAUACAAAGGGGAUCCCUCUCCGGUUUCGGUGUGCAUGUUCUGUCUAUACAGAAAAGCCUGAAGAAACAAACAGGGUUCCCACCAUGAAAAAAAGGCUCAAAGGCCUGCCGACACGGCAUGAUGCGGGGGUCUC